Molecule: ribosomal RNA, 427 nt
Filed under: uncultured bacterium
Lineage: Bacteria
Description: partial 16S ribosomal RNA
Rfam family: Bacterial small subunit ribosomal RNA
Source: RNAcentral
UGGGGAAUAUUGCACAAUGGGCGCAAGCCUGAUGCAGCCAUGCCGCGUGUGUGAAGAAGGCCUUCGGGUUGUAAAGCACUUUCAGCGAGGAGGAAGGGUAGUGUGUUAAUAGCACAUUGCAUUGACGUUACUCGCAGAAGAAGCACCGGCUAACUCCGUGCCAGCAGCCGCGGUAAUACGGAGGGUGCAAGAGGUAAUCGGAAUUACUGGGCGUAAAGCGCACGCAGGCGGUUUGUUAAGUCAGAUGUGAAAUCCCCGCGCUUAACGUGGGAACUGCAUUUGAAACUGGCAAGCUAGAGUCUUGUAGAGGGGGGUAGAAUUCCAGGUGUAGCGGUGAAAUGCGUAGAGAUCUGGAGGAAUACCGGUGGCGAAGGCGGCCCCCUGGACAAAGACUGACGCUCAGGUGCGAAAGCGUGGGGAGCAAACA